AGUAAAUAAAAGAAAGACAAUAGGAGUCCUCUCAAUAGCCGAGGGCCCACUUCCCUAUAUGCGCUUACGGAAGGGGAAAGGCUUGAUUCUCAUAGAUUAGACAAUACACAUGUGCAAACAAGAAAAUCAAACUAUCUUCUUAUUGAUACUAUAUAUUUAUCCUUUCCCCUAUAGAUCCACCUUUCUUCAAAAUAAAGUCUUCUUAUUGAUACUAUAUAUUUAUCCUUUCCCCUAUAGAUCCACCUUUAUUCAAAAUAAAGAUAUAUCAACUAAAAGAAAGCUAAAUCGAAUCGGAAUAGGAUAAAGAAUGCACGAAGGAUCAGAGAGAAAGAGGAUUCUAAAAGCGAAAAGCCUAGAAGACUAGAUUGUCAGACUUGGAGGUAGUAGUAAGAUAUCUGUCUCCUGAGAAGGCAUGAGGUUUUUCUAAAAGUCUCCUCUCAUUACUUAUGGAUAAAACUCUUAAGCUUAAGCUUUUACGAACUGAAAGAUCUCCCCAUUCUAAUUAAGAAUGAGAGUCUUUCAAAUAGAUGUGCUCAUUUGGCUUCAUGAAUCCCUUUGCUAGAAAGAAGAAGACCCAC
This 578-nucleotide long non-coding RNA is filed under the name Nicotiana benthamiana. Its description in RNAcentral is "long non-coding RNA (NBEN_LNC038679)". The record is from RNAcentral. Lineage: Eukaryota; Viridiplantae; Streptophyta; Magnoliopsida; Solanales; Solanaceae.